AGAGUAGUCUUACUGCCUUCAACGAUAGGAGUUCGAGAAUCAAAAUAGUAUAUUAAAAUAUAUAUUUUCAUAUCGACAUAUAUAUUUUUAUAUCAAAAUUUAUUAAUAAUAUUUUAUUUUUUUAUUACAGAAUGCGGGAGCAUCCGGCUCUCAUCCAUUAGUUACUAGAGAGGAUGCACAGGAGCAGAAGGAGGAUGGGAGGA
Molecule: long non-coding RNA, 203 nt
Filed under: Elaeis guineensis (African oil palm)
Lineage: Eukaryota; Viridiplantae; Streptophyta; Magnoliopsida; Arecales; Arecaceae
Description: long non-coding RNA (EGUI_LNC012680)
Source: RNAcentral